AACAAACGGGUUUUACUAUAUAAAGUGAUUAAACCCCAGUUUAUAUUUAUUACAUGCAAAGGUGAAAAAAAAAAUGGCUCAAACUCUCAAAUUUGCUUAUAUUGUUAUCCUUUUUGUUUCUAUUUUUAUCGUUGUAGUCUUUGGUUCAAAAUAUAAGUGUGAUACCGAUGAAGAUUGCUAUAAAUUUUUCCCAAAUGCUAUUCCUGGAACACUGAAGUGCGUGAAAAGUGUUUGUGUAAGCCCGAUAGAAUUAAAGCCCAAAGUUUAGGAUGAGACCGAGUAGUAGUAUAGAGGAGUUUGUUCAUGAGAAUAAAGUGGAGCAAUAGGGUGUUCUAUAGAGUUUGUUGGAUUAUUUUCUCAAAAAUAGUAGUGGGCUGCUAUCCCCCAUUCCCCACUAAUAUCUGUAAUUUUUUUUCUACGAAUAAAUUGUUUCUUCCUAAAUAUAGUUUAUGUUAGUUUUCUUUGAGCAUUGUACUCUUUUUUCCUUCACCUGAUUUCUCCUGUAUGAUUUAAAGAUAAUAAGGUUUUUAAUGAGGCAGUUGUCAUUUGUUUUAAGUCCAACUUGGUUGUCCUCCAAAUUUUGUAUUCUCGAUUUUAAUUUUAUGUUAUUGUGAGUUAGCUUGAUUUUUAAGUUGA
Long non-coding RNA from Trifolium pratense (red clover), 636 nucleotides. RefSeq lists it as uncharacterized. Lineage: Eukaryota; Viridiplantae; Streptophyta; Magnoliopsida; Fabales; Fabaceae. The record is from RefSeq and is a predicted model, not a curated record. The transcript has 3 exons.